UUCAAACACAAGACGGGAGAACACGUCAAGCAUUUAGAACAGAGCCGGCCCAAGGCAGGGACUCUAUCAACGCUGGUUAUUGUAAUGGUUUCUGCUGUUAAGGAGUUAACUGGGAAAAACAGUAUGUGGCCAAACAGAGCACAUGUGUGAGCCAAGUCCUGCUAUUCUGCAAGGUAAGAAGAGAAGGAGGAGGAGGAAGAGGAGGAAGAGGACGAAGAAGAGGAGGAAUUAACAGCUAUUGGCUAUGUGCAAAAUUCCAGACCUUUCACCACCGAUGUCUGCCAUGUUUCUGCCUUGCAACCAGCUGAGCACUUACUGAAACUAUGAGCCAAAAUAACUCUUUCCUCCUUUAAAGUGUUUACGUCAGACAUUUUGUCCCAACAACUUAAACGUGUGAGCUAGCAGCUACCACAGCCGGCCAUGUGACCUGCCUUACAAGUCUGCAGGAUGCCUCUCAAUUACAGCUGAUUUGCAGAUCCUGGUUCCUGGAGCCCUGGGGCCUUUCUUGUUGGUGACUCAGCAACCAGCCUGGGGGAAACAGGAUGUCAGGCUGCAUUUGGCUUCAGCUGCAUUGGCUGGGUGCGGUGAAGGCUGGUGAGGAGGGCUCCGUGUGGCUCCAGGAGCCAGCUCCUCCUCAUGGCAUCCUGCAUCCUGCGGAGGGUUCCCUGGACGAGGCUGGGAAGCAAAGCAGCCCGGGAGGAAGCACAGGGAGAGUCGGGGGGCUGUGGGGAACCCGCGGCUGUGCACACUCAGGGAUCUGACCCCAUCGCCCCUUGCACCUCGCUUCUGCUCUGUGCUCUCCUCAUGCCAGGACCCACCACUCUCUCCCUUUGCCCUGGGCCUCUGCCCUUGCAGGAACCCCGAACUGUCUUCCCCAGAGAUCUCCAGGAGGUGGGGUCAUCCUCCUCAUUCAGCUCCAAGGCCACCUCCGGGCUCGGGCUCUUCUGACUGCAUUGUGGGCGAGAGCUGCCAUCAGCAAGGCCCACAGACCAGGUGGCUUAAAUGACAGAUGGACAGGGCCGCCAAGCCUUUGCAGGGUGCUGAAGUCGUGAUUCAGCUCUGAACCCAGCCUCACUCCCGCUCCCGGCUGGCACCAGCAGACCCAAACCCACACAUUAUUCAUAAGUCUAAUUUAGCUCAGUGGCCGCAGAGCGUUCUUCUCCGGCUGCCAGCCGGGGCGGCUUUGACCUUGGCUGAGGCCCGUUGCCUAUAGAAUCUCUAAUGUGCUGAUGGCCCAGGGGCCCCGGGGGCUCAGCCAUCUCCCUUCACUCCUGGCCGGGACUCCCUGCUGCUCCUGGGGGCCCUGCGCCUGUGACUCUGCCCGCCCUCCCCACCAGCCGUGGGAAGCUGGGAGCCAGCGCUGGCUCCAGGGGCCAGGCCAUCACCUCACAUCGCCCGCCCUGGCUGCUCAUCUGCGGCCGGGUGGGCUGAGGAUCCUGGGGCGCCUUGAGGGAUCUCACUGCCAGGCUUUUUCUGGAACAUGCAUAAUAAAGAUGAAUGAGCUGCCUGCUCCGGGGCUGGCGC
This is a long non-coding RNA of Cavia porcellus (domestic guinea pig), 1524 nucleotides long. RefSeq lists it as uncharacterized. The transcript has 4 exons. NCBI's taxonomy places the organism in Eukaryota, Metazoa, Chordata, Mammalia, Rodentia, Caviidae. The record is from RefSeq and is a predicted model, not a curated record.